GCAGCGAAAUGCGAUAAGUAAUGUGAAUUGCAGAAUUCAGUGAAUCAUCGAAUCUUUGAACGCACCUUGCGCCCUUCGGAUGUACUGAAGGGCAUGCCUGUUUGAGUAUCAUGAACACCUCAACUCUCACGGUCCGCCGUGACGAGCUUGGACUUUGGGGGUCUUGCCGGCCUUCCGUUGGCUCCUCUCAAACGAAUCAGCUUGCCAGUGUUUGGUGGCAUCACGGGUGUGAUAACUAUCUACGCUUGUGGUUUCCCGCCAGGUAACCUCCGUCACCGGGGGUUCGCUGGAGCUCACAAAUGUCCCUCCUUGGUGGGGACGGCUUUUGAACGUUUGAUCUCAAAUCAGGUAGGACUACCCGCUGAACUUAAGCAUAUCAAUAAGCGGAGGAAAAGAAACU
This 400-nucleotide ribosomal RNA is filed under the name uncultured fungus. RNAcentral's name for it is "eukaryotic LSU rRNA". The stretch from base 1 to 111 matches the Rfam family "5.8S ribosomal RNA", at positions 45 to 154 of the family's 154-position model. The record is from RNAcentral. Lineage: Eukaryota; Fungi.